ACGAAGCACAUACGGCGGAACUUUUCGGAGCUUAAAUGUAUGUGACUGAGUGGCGGACGGGUGAGUAACGCGUGGGUAACCUGCCCCAUAGAGGGGGACAACAGUUCGAAACGACUGCUAAUACCGCAUAAGAAAGAAUUGCCGCAUGGCAGUUUUUUGAAAGAUUUAUCGCUAUGGGAUGGACCCGCGUCUGAUUAGCUAGUUGGGAGGGUAACGGCCUACCAAGGCAACGAUCAGUAGCCGGCUUGAGAAAGUGAACGGCCACAUUGGGACUGAGACACGGCCCAGACUCCUACGGGAGGCAGCAGUGGGGAAUAUUGCACAAUGGGGGAUUUUUUGAUGCAGCGACGCCGCGUGAGUGAAGAAGUAUUUCGGUAUGUAAAGCUCUAUUUUUUUGGACCACCCCCACCCUCCGGGGUGGCUGACGGUACCUGACUAAGAAGCCCCGGCUAACUACGUGCCAGCAGCCGCGGUAAUACGUAGGGGGCAAGCGUUAUCCGGAUUUACUGGGUGUAAAGGGAGCGUAGGUGGCAAGGCAAGUCAGAUGUGAAAACCCGGGGCCCAACCCCGGGAGUUGCAUUUGAAACAGUCUGGCUAGAGUGCAGGAGAGGCAACCGGAAUUCCUAGUGUAGCGGUGAAAUGCA
RNAcentral lists this ribosomal RNA (644 nucleotides) under uncultured bacterium. Its description in RNAcentral is "bacterial SSU rRNA". It matches the Rfam family "Bacterial small subunit ribosomal RNA", at positions 46 to 690 of the family's 1533-position model. The record is from RNAcentral.